Molecule: ribosomal RNA, 796 nt
Filed under: uncultured bacterium
Lineage: Bacteria
Description: bacterial SSU rRNA
Rfam family: Bacterial small subunit ribosomal RNA
Source: RNAcentral
GAGGUGNGAAAGCGUGGGGAGCGAACAGGAUUAGAUACCCUGGUAGUNNACGCNGUAAACGAUGAAUGCUAGGUGUUGGGGAANNUCAGUGCNGCAGUUAACACAAUAAGCAUUCCGCCUGGGGAGUACGACCGCAAGGUUGAAACUCAAAGGAAUUGACGGGGACCCGCACAAGCAGCGGAGCNNGUGGUUUAAUUNGAAGNAACGCGAAGAACCUUACCAGGUCUUGACAUCCUNUGACAAUCCCAGAGAUGGGACGUUUCCUUCGGGAACAGAGAGACAGGUGGUGCAUGGUUGUCGUCAGCUCGUGUCGUGAGAUGUUGGGUUAAGUCCCGCAACGAGCGCAACCCCCGCCUUUAGUUGCCAGCAUUGAGUUGGGCACUCUAGAGGGACUGCCGUAGACAAUACGGAGGAAGGUGGGGAUGACGUCAAAUCAUCAUGCCCCUUAUGACCUGGGCUACACACGUGCUACAAUGGUCUGAACAGAGGGCCGCGAAACCGCGAGGUGAAGCAAAUCCCUUAAAACAGAUCCCAGUUCGGAUUGCAGGCUGCAACUCGCCUGCAUGAAGUUGGAGUUGCUAGUAAUCGCGGAUCAGAAUGCCGCGGUGAAUGCGUUCCCGGGUCUUGUACACACCGCCCGUCACACCACGAGAGUUGGCAACACCCGAAGCCCGUGAGAGAACCGUAAGGACUCAGCGGUCGAAGGUGGGGCUAGUAAUUGGGGUGAAGUCGUAACAAGGUAAAAUCACUAGUGAAUUCGCGGCCGCCUGCAGGUNCGACCAUANGGGAGAGCUCC